This 206-nucleotide unclassified non-coding RNA is filed under the name Hevea brasiliensis (rubber tree). The record is from RNAcentral. Lineage: Eukaryota; Viridiplantae; Streptophyta; Magnoliopsida; Malpighiales; Euphorbiaceae.
AAACAAUCUCUGGCAAGGUUUCUGUUGAGUUUCGGUCCACCACCUUCAUCUCCGCCUCCACCUCCAUCUCCUUCAAUUGCCCACGACCUUAAAGGCCUCAGGUCCUCCAAUACCCAACACCACUGCAACAGAAGAAACCCAUCACACAAGGAAGGAAGCAAGAACAUAAAAGGACCAAAACCCUUUCUGUACUACCACCACAGGCC